UACAGAGGUCUCAAGCGUUGUUCGGAUUCAUUGGGCGUAAAGGGUGCGUAGGCGGCGCGGUAAGUCAGGUGUGAAAUUUCGGAGCUUAACUCCGAAACUGCAUUUGAUACUGGUGUGCUUGAGGACUGGAGAGGAGACUGGAAUUCAUGGUGUAGCAGUGAAAUGCGUAGAGAUCAUGAGGAAGACCAGUGGCGAAGGCGGGUCUCUGGACAGUUCCUGACACUGAGGCACGAAGGCCAGGGGAGCAAACGGG
RNAcentral lists this ribosomal RNA (253 nucleotides) under uncultured bacterium. RNAcentral's name for it is "partial 16S ribosomal RNA". It matches the Rfam family "Bacterial small subunit ribosomal RNA", at positions 524 to 776 of the family's 1533-position model. The record is from RNAcentral.